RNAcentral lists this non-coding RNA (105 nucleotides) under Rathayibacter tanaceti. RNAcentral describes it as "ZMP/ZTP riboswitch aptamer (pfl RNA motif)". It matches the Rfam family "ZMP/ZTP riboswitch aptamer (pfl RNA motif)". From Rfam's summary of the family: Previously known as pfl RNA. ZMP is also known as AICAR. Lineage: Bacteria; Bacillati; Actinomycetota; Actinomycetes; Micrococcales; Microbacteriaceae. The record is from Rfam by way of RNAcentral. RNAcentral also lists the same sequence under 1 other name.
UGACUCCGCCGCGACUGGCGUUCGGAUGGGUGACCAUCAGGGAGCGGCACCUCCUCCGUGGCGUUGCCGCGGACACUUUUCCCGCCGCACGCCUGGGCUGGAACG